AUGGCGGACAACCCUUCUCCCUGCUGGGACAGGUUACCCAGCGUAGCGGUUGGUCGGCCACUCCUCACAGGGUCCAGCUUUUUGGGAAAGGCGGGCUCUGCAUUAGCCGCUGUGUUAUCCCUCGUGUUGCGCUGGGUGCAGGCAUGUGCACACCUCCAGUCCCAAGGCUCCACACACAAGCACGCCGUGUCGUCACCUGCAGCUGCACUGGUCCCGACUGGCUGGACCUGUCAUGGCAGCGCCCGCGUUGCUUCCCGCUGGGGAGACACUAUUAAUUGGUCAUUUGUUUUUUCACCUGUCUGGGGCGCUUAUGUAACCGGCAAACUGGCAACGAGGUCACGGCUCCUCACGCAGAGGCCAACGUUGAUCCCUGAUCCGCCUGCUGUUUGCGAGCCUGACCUGCUGAGGGGGUUAUGAAACGCUUUCUAUAUUGGUGUAAUUAUGUGUUGACAUUUGAGCAUCAUAAAACACUGAUAAGUACACAGGUGUAUUGAAUAUGUAAUUAUGUAAUGAUGUUUAUCUUGCAUUAUUUGUAAUUGAAAUUCGCUGAGUGUCAGUUCCUGAACCCUGUAAAACAAAGGCCAUGCGUGCUGUGAAAUCUGACCUACUGGCUGAAGAGCGUCCUUGGAUUAGCAUUUAUUGCCAUAACCUCUGUCAUUACAUUCAUACCAGAGAUUUUAUGGAGAGAAGUCACCCUCAUUCAGACGCCGCUGCCUGGAAUCUGAGCAAGGUGCUAAGAAGCCUCCCGCCACACCCUAAGCAUGUUGUGAAACAGUUGCUCUGUCAAAGUGACAAUGCAACUUGUGUUACAUCUCUCACACCGGCAGAACCAGAUGUGUUCAAAUGGAGAAAAUCAUUAACAAUACGCAGAAAAUGAAACACUCCUGACAGAUUAUGACCUGAUUGACUGUAACCAGGUUUUAUCCUGCCUUGUCUCAAUCGUUUUACUGCAGAUUUCACUUCAGUAAAACAUUAUGUAAUAUUCAUAAUUCAGGUUCUGGGAAUUUUUUUGGUCAUUUGUGAAAUGUCCUUUAGAUCACAUGCACAGAGGAGCUGGACCACGAACUCCACGGGGGAGUCUGAUCCGUGGGGUUUGGCCACUGCCUGAGUGCACGUGAGAAACCACACAGAAAAUUCCUUGUGUUGUUUUUAAGAAAUGAACUCAAUGAAUUCACUUCUCAGACAUCACAACAAUUGAACCUGUAAUCUCUUAAAAAGUACGAGCAUCAUUAUUUGAAAUGGACUAGAGAUGUGUAAAUGCAGUGAACUAAAUUGUGUUGGAAAACCACCGCGACCGUUAAUGAUGCUUCAAAUGAACCUCAUGGACAACGUGAGGCACAUCCGCCUUGUCAAGUCCAUAUCACUGAAACGGCCCCGUUCUUCCUCCUCCAUCCACGCCGUCCACUAAUCUCAACCU
RNAcentral lists this long non-coding RNA (1417 nucleotides) under Betta splendens (Siamese fighting fish). RNAcentral's name for it is "lncRNA (ENSBSLG00000004805.1)". Lineage: Eukaryota; Metazoa; Chordata; Actinopteri; Anabantiformes; Osphronemidae. The record is from RNAcentral.